RNAcentral lists this ribosomal RNA (491 nucleotides) under uncultured bacterium. RNAcentral describes it as "bacterial SSU rRNA". It matches the Rfam family "Bacterial small subunit ribosomal RNA", at positions 50 to 573 of the family's 1533-position model. The record is from RNAcentral.
AACACAUGCAAGUCGAACGAGAAAGUGGAGCAAUCCAUGAGUAAAGUGGCGACCGGGUGAGUAACACGUGACUAACCUACCUCCGAGUGGGGAAUAACUCCGGGAAACCGGGGCUAAUACCGCAUAACAUCGCAAGAUCAAAGCAGCAAUGCGCUUGGAGAGGGGGUCGCGGCUGAUUAGCUCGUUGGCGGGGUAACGGCCCACCAAGGCGAAGAUCGGUAUCCGGCCUGAGAGGGCGCACGGACACACUGGAACUGAAACACGGUCCAGACUCCUACGGGAGGCAGCAGUGGGGAAUUUUGCGCAAUGGGGGAAACCCUGACGCAGCAACGCCGCGUGGAGGAUGAAGCCCUUUGGGGCGUAAACUCCUUUCGACUCGGACGAUAAUGACGGUACGAGUGGAAGAAGCACCGGCUAACUCUGUGCCAGCAGCCGCGGUAAUACAGAGGGUGCGAGCGUNGUUCGGAAUUAUUGGGCGUAAAGGGCGCGUA